RNAcentral lists this unclassified non-coding RNA (295 nucleotides) under Hevea brasiliensis (rubber tree). The record is from RNAcentral. Lineage: Eukaryota; Viridiplantae; Streptophyta; Magnoliopsida; Malpighiales; Euphorbiaceae.
UUCAAACCUUGAGAUUGACCAAAUUGAGAACGGGGUAACUGUUGUAUCAGAAUUGACUAAGGGUGUUGAACGUUGAUACCAAGACUUCUAGUUAUGAUUCAGUCAACAAUGUUCCUGUCUAUUUGUAUGGGAAAUCAGGAAGGAUUGAAAAGAGCAGGGAAACAUUUUAUGAUAUUUCUCAUAAUGGGAAAAGAAGUGUGCUUCUUUGGAAUUCUAUGAUAAAUGCAUAUCUUCAAAAUGGUUUCCCUUUGGACGCUUUGAGUCUUUUUGAGUUAAUGGUGGAGGACCCUACUUG